GAGAAAUCCUUUCACUUAUUUGAGAAAUAUGAAAAAGUACAUAAAUAUUUUGAUACUACCAAGGGAUCAUGCAUUCAGAAAGAGCAUUAGGACGUUACCUGAAUCCUUAUGAAACGUGGUCUGGCAUAAGAGGUGAGGUAAGUGGUCACAUGACUAAAAAUGACUUCGGGCUCAAACUGAUGGUCUUUCUUUAGUGUGAUGGUAGCCAUUCCUGUCCUCCCCUCAUACCCUUCAAAU
Molecule: long non-coding RNA, 237 nt
Organism: Sinocyclocheilus rhinocerous
Lineage: Eukaryota; Metazoa; Chordata; Actinopteri; Cypriniformes; Cyprinidae
Exons: 2
Source: RefSeq, a predicted model, not a curated record